AUGUCGAGCGAUAGCGAGGACGACAGUUCGGCCAGCAGUCUAGCGCCCGAUGAUAGGUCAACAUCAAAAUCAUCCCGCUCAUCUUCCAUGAGUCCGUCGGAGUCGUCAGAAGACAACCAGACGGACAAGGAGCCGUCGGAGGAUGAAGAAGAGGACGACGAUGAUGAUGAGGAGGAAUGGUCGAACGAGGAGGAGGAGGAGGAGGACGACGACAGCAACGACGAUGACAUCGGUGGCGGUGAUGAAAAGCCAACGGUCAGCGGCAAGAAGCGUCCUUGCCAAGAUGAUGUCGCGGGGCCAUCCAACAAGAACAAGAAGAAGAAGAAGAAGGACUAA
RNAcentral lists this ribosomal RNA (336 nucleotides) under Triticum aestivum (bread wheat). RNAcentral's name for it is "partial small subunit ribosomal RNA". The record is from RNAcentral. Lineage: Eukaryota; Viridiplantae; Streptophyta; Magnoliopsida; Poales; Poaceae.